Molecule: ribosomal RNA, 253 nt
Filed under: uncultured bacterium
Lineage: Bacteria
Description: partial 16S ribosomal RNA
Rfam family: Bacterial small subunit ribosomal RNA
Source: RNAcentral
GACGUAGGGGGCGAGCGUUGUCCGGAUUCAUUGGGCGUAAAGGGUGUGUAGGUGGCGCCGUAAGUCGGGUGUGAAAUUUCGGAGCUUAACUCCGAAACUGCAUUCGAUACUGCGGUGCUUGAGGACUGGAGAGGAGACUGGAAUUCAUGGUGUAGCAGUGAAAUGCGUAGAGAUCAUGAGGAAGACCAGUGGCGAAGGCGGGUCUCUGGACAGUUCCUGACACUGAGACACGAAGGCCAGGGGAGCAAACGGG